UGCUCAUAUUUGGUGCUAAUUAUUGGGAAUUUUUGGAGCUUUGCAGUGGGAUCAUUUGGCUCGUGUUGAAGGCUCGUUUUUAAGGGGUUUAGGAUCACACUCCUAUCACACGUGGCUAGUAGGGUUCCCUAUCGGCAAAGUUUUGGAUCUGGCGAUUAUGCUCAUCCUGCCAUUCGUGACUAGAAUUAUUAUUGUUGUACCAUUGGUGAGUCCUCAUAGUUUGAGGAUAUGACACUUACUUCAUUUUGUCAAUUGAUUACUUCAUUACUCUUAUGUUUUCAUGGGUGAACUAGAAGCUUGUCUUAUGCUCCCAUCGAGUUAGUAUAGGCAUGUUAAAUAUUCAUGGCGUCUAUAUUGUCGAUUUUGCUCAU
Molecule: long non-coding RNA, 371 nt
Organism: Solanum dulcamara
Lineage: Eukaryota; Viridiplantae; Streptophyta; Magnoliopsida; Solanales; Solanaceae
Exons: 3
Source: RefSeq, a predicted model, not a curated record